CAAUGACUAUGGGUAUGUGAGGGCUAUUGAUUGUGAUGCUCCAGAGAUUAUAAUCAAAUACUUGGAUAAAGAUGCAUAUGCGUGCUUUCCAAUAGGUAUAGUUAGACCUAUUGAAAAGAUGUGGUCUACUAGUGAAUUAUCUCUCGGUAAGUGAAACUUUCAAAUGAGUUGUCAUUAAUCUUUAAAUCAAAACUAAUUGAGAAUCAAGCUCUAAUACCACUUGUUGCCCAGUUAGAUAACCCAAGAGGGGGGGGGG
RNAcentral lists this long non-coding RNA (256 nucleotides) under Elaeis guineensis (African oil palm). Its description in RNAcentral is "long non-coding RNA (EGUI_LNC035646)". Lineage: Eukaryota; Viridiplantae; Streptophyta; Magnoliopsida; Arecales; Arecaceae. The record is from RNAcentral.